CCCUUAGAUGUUCUGGGCCGCACACGCGCUACACUGAAGGAGGCAGCGUGUACUCCUGGAUCGAAAGAUUUGGGUAACCCGCGAAUCUCCUUCGUGCUAGGGAUUGAGGUUUGCAAUUAUCCUUCAUGAACGAGGAAUUCCCAGUAAGUGCAAGUCAUAAGCUUGCGCUGACUACGUCCCUGCCCUUUGUACACACCGCCCGUCGCACCUACCGAUUGAAUGGUCCGGUGAAAUCUCGGGACGGCGGCUUGGUCGCUUGCGUCCGACUGCUGAAACUUGAUUAAACCAUAUCAUUUAGAGGAAGGUGAAGUCGUAACA
Molecule: ribosomal RNA, 318 nt
Filed under: uncultured eukaryote
Lineage: Eukaryota
Description: partial 18S ribosomal RNA
Rfam family: Eukaryotic small subunit ribosomal RNA
Source: RNAcentral